This 411-nucleotide ribosomal RNA is filed under the name uncultured microorganism. RNAcentral's name for it is "bacterial SSU rRNA". It matches the Rfam family "Bacterial small subunit ribosomal RNA", at positions 9 to 424 of the family's 1533-position model. The record is from RNAcentral.
GAGUUUGAUCAUGGCUCAGAUUGAACGCUGGCGGAAUGCUUUACACAUGCAAGUCGAACGGCAGCACGGACUUCGGUCUGGUGGCGAGUGGCGAACGGGUGAGUAGCAUAUCGGAACGUAUCCAAUAAUGGGGGAUAACUAAUCGAAAGGUUGGCUAAUACCGCGUACGCCCUACGGGGAAAGCAGGGGAUCUUCGGACCUUGCGUUAAUGGAGCGGCUGAUAUCUGAUUAGCUAGUUGGUUGAGGUAAAGGCUCACCAAGGCGACGAUCAGUAGCUGGUCUGAGAGGACGACCAGCCACACUGGAACUGAGACACGGUCCAGACUCCUACGGGAGGCAGCAGUGGGGAAUUUUGGACAAUGGGCGCAAGCCUGAUCCAGCCAUUCCGCGUGAGUGAAGAAGGCCUCGGUU